UCAAAGCCUGCACAGUCAAACUUCUUGACUUCACGUGGCCCAAUGGAUGCACAAGUAAUGAUACACAUGAAAAGCAUCAAUUAAAAGCAAUUGAACUUAGUGAUCGUUCACCUGCCAUCACUCAGUUCUCUCUCUCUAUCUCUCUCGUCACCGUUUACGCCGUGCCGGAGGCUCCCUCGGCGGCGGAGACACCACAAAAUCUCAAAUCUAAACCACCUUUCUACCUUAUUCUAAGCUCUAAAUCCAUAUAUAGCCAUGAAAAGUUCUACAAAUUCUUGAAUCGAGCCAAUUGAACGCAAACAACCAAGAACCCUAACAUGUCAAAGUCAAAUUAAAUGGCGUAAAACCAGAGAUUCUCAUGCAAACCAUGGGGCUAAUGAUGCCAAGAAGGUCUACUACACAGUGGUAAUCGAUUUUGCGGAAAACAGAGAAGAAAGUUUACCUCCGAAAUGGAGCACUGUUCCGGUGAAUGUCGAUCGGAGAAGACGAAGCGCGAAGGGAAAUCACUUGAACAAUAGGUGGAUCAUGGUUACGAUAACUGCAUAUGUGCAAAAAAAGUUCAUGCCAAAAUUGAUAAGAUUGCCAUGUAUAUGUUGGAUGAAUGAGUUGUAAACAAAAUAUUUACUGUGUUAUAGAGCAGGCAGAUCAAAUUGCUUGGAAUGCACGUGGGCUGCUAUGUAUGGUCACAGUACAUAGCUUAUGAAGGGAAAAUUGGAUGAGACUGUCAAUUGAGUUUUUGACCUAUCAUCAUGUUAUGCUAGGAACUUGUCAUUGGCCAUGUGGGAUGCUAUGUAUUGAAUGGAUUUGUACUUAGCUUAGUUGCUCAUGUUAUAUUAUUGUAAUGGUUCGACAUAAAUGAAAGUGAAGUUAAGGUUGUAAUCGAAUUGAUGGUGUAUUAGGAUGUAUGGUAAAAUUGGAAUUUGGAUUGUAUGGAAUUGGUUUAGGCCAUUAUAGAAAUGUGAAAAUAAUUAUGUAUUGCAAUGACUUAA
This is a long non-coding RNA of Lathyrus oleraceus (garden pea), 989 nucleotides long. RefSeq lists it as uncharacterized. Lineage: Eukaryota; Viridiplantae; Streptophyta; Magnoliopsida; Fabales; Fabaceae. The transcript is spliced from 2 exons. The record is from RefSeq and is a predicted model, not a curated record.